ACGAACGCUGGCGGCAGGCCUAACACAUGCAAGUCGAGCGCGCCCUUCGGGGUGAGCGGCGGACGGGUGAGUAACGCGUGGGAACGUGCCCUUUUCUACGGAAUAGCCUCGGGAAACUGAGAGUAAUACCGUAUACGCCCUUUGGGGGAAAGAUUUAUCGGAAAAGGAUCGGCCCGCGUUGGAUUAGGUAGUUGGUGGGGUAAUGGCCUACCAAGCCGACGAUCCAUAGCUGGUUUGAGAGGAUGAUCAGCCACACUGGGACUGAGACACGGCCCAGACUCCUACGGGAGGCAGCAGUGGGGAAUCUUAGACAAUGGGGGCAACCCUGAUCUAGCCAUGCCGCGUGAGUGAUGAAGGCCUUAGGGCUGUAAAGCUCUUUCAGCUGGGAAGAUAAUGACGGUACCAGCAGAAGAAGCCCCGGCUAACUCCGUG
Molecule: ribosomal RNA, 432 nt
Filed under: uncultured bacterium
Lineage: Bacteria
Description: partial 16S ribosomal RNA
Rfam family: Bacterial small subunit ribosomal RNA
Source: RNAcentral